CACGUAGGCGGCCCUAUAAGUCAGAUGUGAAAGCCCGGGGCUUAACCCCGGAAGUGCAUUUGAAACUAUGGGGCUUGAGUAUGGGAGAGGGAAGUGGAAUUCCUGGUGUAGAGGUGAAAUUCGUAGAUAUCAGGAGGAACACCGGUGGCGAAGGCGACUUCCUGGACCAAUACUGACGCUGAGGUGCGAAGGCGUGGGGAGCAAACA
This 207-nucleotide ribosomal RNA is filed under the name uncultured bacterium. Its description in RNAcentral is "partial 16S ribosomal RNA". It matches the Rfam family "Bacterial small subunit ribosomal RNA", at positions 568 to 774 of the family's 1533-position model. The record is from RNAcentral.